RNAcentral lists this ribosomal RNA (408 nucleotides) under Bacteroidia bacterium. Its description in RNAcentral is "bacterial SSU rRNA". It matches the Rfam family "Bacterial small subunit ribosomal RNA", at positions 1 to 406 of the family's 1533-position model. The record is from RNAcentral. Lineage: Bacteria; Pseudomonadati; Bacteroidota; Bacteroidia.
ACAAUGAAGAGUUUGAUCCUGGCUCAGGAUGAACGCUAGCGGCAGGCCUAACACAUGCAAGUCGAGGGGUAACAGGAAAAGCUUGCUUUUCGCUGACGACCGGCGGACGGGUGAGUAACGCGUAUACAAUCUACCUUUUGCUAAGGGAUAGCCCAGAGAAAUUUGGAUUAAUACCUUAUAGUAUAUAGCUACGGCAUCGUAAUUAUAUUAAAGGUUACGGCAUAAGAUGAGUAUGCGUCCUAUUAGCUAGUAGGUGUGGUAACGGCACACCUAGGCAACGAUAGGUAGGGGCCCUGAGAGGGGGAUCCCCCACACUGGUACUGAGACACGGACCAGACUCCUACGGGAGGCAGCAGUGAGGAAUAUUGGUCAAUGGGCGAAAGCCUGAACCAGCCAUGCCGCGUGCAG